Non-coding RNA from Taeniopygia guttata (zebra finch), 1229 nucleotides. The record is from RefSeq and is a predicted model, not a curated record. Lineage: Eukaryota; Metazoa; Chordata; Aves; Passeriformes; Estrildidae.
GAAAAGUCAUACUUAGUUCAAUACAAGUGUUCCUACUCAAUAAAGGCAUACAACUGCUUGGUGAGGAUUACUCAGCUUACCUCUAGUUGUUUUGUUAACAAUCUAUGUAUUAAUGGUACUCCUUUUUCCACUUCCCUAGGCAGUAUCAAGACAGAAUACGAUUUGUCGCACCAACACUGAACCAAGACUAAGUUCAGCCCUUUGUAUGGAACUGCUGAAAGAGGAAACUGCAGCACUUGUUUCACAGUUGUGUGCAUUAUCUGGUAGGAUGGUGAGACUACCAUGUUUCCUUGGACAAGUAUCAGAACUUCAACUUGAACAAAGUGGGAUUAAGUUUUACUCAUUUUAGAAGAGCACUCCUAUCCAACAUAUGGACAAGACAGCUUGAAGAAGCAUGCUUCUUAAAUUGACGAUUUAUUCUGUUUAGGAACAGUCAAUAAAUACCAAUCUUCUAGCUUCAGUCUGGAAAUCCUUCCCCAUCAAAAAUCACUUAUUUGUGAUGUUUUUUCCUGGCAUAAACUCCAUUGCCAGCAAUGGAUGUACGAGACAAAGAAAUUAAUAAAUACAAACAGCACUUUUCUAAACAUACCUCCUCUUUUAAAGGCAUGAUACAGAUUUACUAAACAAAUCUCAAACAAGUUCUUCACAGAAGAAAAUUUUGCUACAAGCUGUCUUUGAACAUUGUUUUCUUCACUAAUGUUGGUAGUUUAUUUCAUGGAGUAUGGUAUUUUUGAACAGCAAUAAUGAAUCAUUUAAAAACAAGCCUUUUUCCCCCCUUUUCCUUUGCCAAAUGUAUGCUGAGACAUGUAGCUGGUACUGAACUGUAUGAAUUUAAGAGUGGUGUGCCUCUUGUCAAGCACUUCAUGGCAAACAUGAAGAAACAGCAAUAUGGUACUUUUUUUACUAGGGAUCUGGGGGAUUUAUUUAUUCAUCUUGAUUUUAAACCACUGUUCAAGUAUUAAAGGUAUAAAAUUUAACUGUAACAGAUGUUUUGUGUAACUUUCUGUGAAGUGUAGAAACACAAUGGAAGAUUCCUGUUUCUGAUGAAAAUAAUUUUCAAGUAGUUAAAUUUGAAUAUCCCUCUAAACUCCAUUCAUAUCAUAUUAAAAAUGUGUAUAAAAGCAUGAGACUACAGAAAAACAAUUAACAUAACAGAGUUAAUCUUGAAUAAGUUUUUCCACAACUGUAUUUUACAAAUAACUGAACUCCCGCUUUAGCAAAAGCAAAAA